UUAAGACGACGUUCAUGUCUUUAACUUUUUCUCUCUUUAGGAAGCGAGCUUGAUAUGCGUGGCGAUCGUUUCUCGACUUUCGGAGAGUUUAGAUCGGUUUGCAAAAUCUUAGUUCUCUCGAAGAUGCAGUUUUGUCCCUUCUCAGUUUUGCGUGCUCAUUUCCGUUUCCUAUUCUCGUGUAUGUUUGUCAUUUCCGAUAUUGGUGUUUAUCCUUUGAAACUUGACAUUUAUCUUCCGAACUUGACUGUUAUCUUCUCCUUAGAUAAGACGUCGAUUUUUGUAAAAAGGUUCAACGUAAUCGUAUAGUUAAGGCGGCUAAGGUGUCAAGUAAACCGUUGCCGUUUUAUACGAUUAAUCUGAAUCCAUGCGAGAAAAUAGGUCUUUGCGGUUUUUUUUUUUUUUUAUAUCAUAAAGUUUCAAUGGUAACUUCAAUCGAGGCGAAACAAGAGACGUUUCGAUCGAGAUUCAAAAGUGAACGCAAAGAUGGAGGUAGGGUGAGCAGAAACAAGCCAAGAAGUUUAAGAUGAGUUUUACUUGUUUUUGUCGUAAAAUCUCAACGGAAACUCCGAUUGAGACGAAACGAAAAGCG
Molecule: long non-coding RNA, 589 nt
Filed under: Brassica rapa (field mustard)
Lineage: Eukaryota; Viridiplantae; Streptophyta; Magnoliopsida; Brassicales; Brassicaceae
Description: long non-coding RNA (BRAP_LNC008771)
Source: RNAcentral